Molecule: transfer RNA, 77 nt
Filed under: uncultured Cytophagales bacterium
Lineage: Bacteria; Pseudomonadati; Bacteroidota; Sphingobacteriia; Sphingobacteriales
Description: tRNA-Glu-TTC
Rfam family: tRNA
About the family: Transfer RNA (tRNA) molecules are approximately 80 nucleotides in length.
Source: RNAcentral
AAGGCUGUAGUUUAAGCAGGAAGAACGCCGCCCUUUCACGGCGGAGGCUGUCAGUUCGACUCUGACCAGUCUUGCCA